This is a small nucleolar RNA of Crocodylus porosus (Australian saltwater crocodile), 134 nucleotides long. NCBI's taxonomy places the organism in Eukaryota, Metazoa, Chordata, Crocodylia, Crocodylidae. The record is from Ensembl.
AUGCCAGUAAAUUAUGUCUGCUUAACUUGACUGUGUUCUGCAGAACUAUUUACAAUUACACUGGCAAUAAUAAAGCCACAGUACGAGCCUUAAAGAUUUGCUAGUCUUUGAGGUCCCUGAAAAUGGCUACACUU